CCGGAAGCAAACAGAACAAAACGAUAGUUUAUAUUGGACAAAUUCAGUUCCAGUUACUGUGCUUCUCGGACUUGGAGAGGAGCUAGAGGUGCACCUUGUUAUGCCAUCACUCAAGAGCAACUGAGGUUUCUGAUAUCCUGUGGUUUCAGUGUGUCUCAGAUGGCAGAUAUUCUACAUGUGUCCUGAUCGACAGUCAAACGUUGUCUAAGACACUUCAAUCUGUCACAUGCACCAUUAUAUUCUGACAUGUCAGACUUGGCUCCGGAUGAAAAGAUUAAGAACUGGUGGCUGGGAACGACAAACGUGGAGCGGAGGCUGUUCGAUCACAAUUAAGAGCUCUGGGUGCAGAGACGCAGAGUGAGGGACAGCAUGCUCCGUGUUAACCCGAGGGCGGCUUCCCUUAGAGCCAUGUCGCAGAGGCUGCAUAGAAGGUCAUACCAUGUUGCUGUACCAAACUCGUUAUGGCACCUUGAUGGAAACCACAAACUGAUAAGCAACAAUCGCAGCAGUACAGUAAUGGAUUGCUUCGUGAAUGCUGUUUCCAGAUAUGGCGUUCCCUCCAGAGUUAGGACGGACCAUGGAGGAGAAAACAACACUGUCUGCUUGUUGAAUGUAUACAUAGUGAAAAUAUUAUAUAUCUAAAAUAGAGCUACAUGCAUUGCAUCCUUAAAAUGUCUUCUUGACCUACACAUUGAUUACAUUUUCUGUAAAUCAUUUUUAGAACGCAAUCACAUUAUGUUUGACAGCUUUAUUGCUUUCUCCAUGUUCUUGAAAUGUUUGUGAAAUGUUUAAAUGACAUUUAACAGACGACUUCUACAAACAAGGCUACACUUGUGGCAGCACCUAUUCCUGUGCCCCCCCCAUCUUCUGCACCACUUAUUGUGGCCCCCUCCACCUAUACCAUUUCCUGUGGCCUCCCCUCCACCAUUCCCUGAGGCUUAUUGUCCACCUUCACCACACUCUUCUGUUGAUGUUGAGGACAAUGAGUAAGUCCUCCCUGUAAAUAAUUCAAUGUCUUGUUAUUACAGAUGAAAUGUGGGAAGUAUCUGAGCUUUGCUAUUCUGAAUGUCUUUUUUUUUGUUGUGUUGACCUCCAAACACUGCUGAAGUUAAUGAGAUGCCAACCAAGUUAACGUGAUGAUUGACAACAUUUAUGAUUUUGCAAUGAGAGGCUUUAAGAGAGCCCGCUUUAGUCCAGAGGCAAAAAUAGACAUGGUUUUUUGGGAUACUGACAGAAAAGGGGCAGCUGAGGGUGGUCCCUCAAGAGAGGGUGGUCCUCUCCUGCUGCUAAUGAGUGCUAUCCAUUCCUCUGCAAUAUUUGAGGGACCUGAUUGGCAAAAAUGCCUUUCUUGCAACUCUCAAGGUGAGUUACACUUUAACACCAACAAAAACACAUUUGUUUAUGGCAAUAAAUAUAACUUGAGUAAGACAUUAGAUUUUUGUAUGUAAUGUGUCCUUUAUUUACUGUUUUUCUUCUGUGUGAUAGCACUCUAUGAUGGUGUAUACAAGCAGGUGGGCCGCUUGAUUGCUGUCUGUCUGGUACAUGGGGGUGUAGAGACACAUUUUUUCAGAGGCUAUACAGGCAAGUGUGUGGCCAACAACCUCCUGUGCCAGAACUGAAAGAAAUUGCGGAAUAUGACUUCAGAGAGAAGUUGGAAAAGAUUCAAAGAGGGUCUGAAGUGUCUAGGUCUCCUGCCUUAUAUGAAUAGACACUCAAGCCUCUUCAUCUACGCUGAGAAACCUCUUUUGGCCAAAGACAUAGCUUCUCUCUUCAAAGCAGAGCGCUCCCCGCCUGGCACCAAUCAAAGAGCAAUAGAGAAACGAGUCAUAUGUUUCUGGAGGGACUGGCUUCUGGAGGUGGAAGGUUAGAUGCAAAACCAUGAUCACUGAAGUAACACGGCCCACAUCAAUAAAAUAUCACCUCAUCACGCAUUUUAUAGCCUUAUUCUUCCAUGGGCCCCCUAAGAAUUUAAUAGAUCAAUUAAAUCCCAAACUACUUUCACUUAGAGUAUUGUGUUCUCCAAUAAGUGUUACUUAUGGACUUUAAUGUCCCCCCCUUCCGUUUUUCAGGGGGGAACACAUACCCUUUAACCAUGGGGAAGGUUUUCAUUUUCACUUUGGGGGUUUCAGCAUUCCUAGGCUGGUAUUGCCAGUGGAGCCACAGCUACAGUUCUCUCUGCUACCGCACGGCAAGCGUAGCGCCAAGUCUAGGUCCAAGAUGCUUCUAAACAGAUUCUAUCCCGAAGCCAUAAGACUACUGAACAUCU
This is a long non-coding RNA of Oncorhynchus gorbuscha (pink salmon), 2266 nucleotides long. RefSeq lists it as uncharacterized. The transcript is spliced from 5 exons. Lineage: Eukaryota; Metazoa; Chordata; Actinopteri; Salmoniformes; Salmonidae. The record is from RefSeq and is a predicted model, not a curated record.